AAGCAAGGGAGAUAUUCUGGAUUCAGACAUACCUACAUAGGUGUUCAACAGACGGAGGGGUAAAGUACAGAGUUGUGUGUAAGUGGUGACAGAGGUAGACAGGGUAAUAAAGCAGGUGGGAACGGGUUCUCAUGCUUGUGUAAGUGGCCCUGUCAUUGUCUAAUUAUUUGCCAGUGAAUUAACUUUUUCUUUCUUCUGCCAGAGGGACAAGACUUCCAGAAACUGUGGCAUCUGAGUGAGUCCUUGUCUGGUAUUAGCUGGCUCUGAGAUGACUCUACCCAUCCAUACCCAGAUCAGGCUGGUUCAGCGAAGUGCUGACAGUUACAGCUGGUGUGCCCUUCACUAGGGGCACACAUCAUGCUCGCUGUUGGUACCAACCCAGCCCCAGAACCCUGGUUUCCAGUUGGCAUCAGCUCAUUUGUGGGAGGAAGACAAAAGAUGGUUGGACCAUUGUUGGGAAAGAUGACAUACGGAAGAACAUAUCAAAAGUUGGACAGAAACGGAGCAUGGGGAAGUAAAAAAAUCUGACGUUAAAAAAUGGCCGCCAAUGAAAAGAAUCUGACCCAUACGUAUCUUAUUUUGCUAUACAGGUUUGUUUUUCACCUUGAAUGUGAUUCUGGAACCGUUGGAGCCCCGAUUUACAGUUUGGAGAUCGUUUGGGUAUUUCAGCGCUCUGAAGUCUCUGAGUGGAUUUCGGAGGGCAGAGGCAACGUGUGUGAACUUCAUAGCGAGAAUGCUGAGUUCCAGUGUUCGUCUCCAUUUCACCGAUUUAAAACUUCCAUUGUUCACUGAUUAAAGUAAUGAAGGAGAUUGAAACAUUGAGGCGAAUGCAGAAGACAAAUAUUUGAAAGGACGUGAAGAGAUGAGAAGCAAAGCAGAGAUUCAACAUAAAGCAAAGAUGGAGAAGAUAAAAAGAUAAUGAAGAUGGCGUCUCUGAAAAAUCCAUCACCUUUAAUAAUACA
Long non-coding RNA from Mobula hypostoma (lesser devil ray), 962 nucleotides. RefSeq lists it as uncharacterized. The transcript is spliced from 4 exons. The record is from RefSeq and is a predicted model, not a curated record. Lineage: Eukaryota; Metazoa; Chordata; Chondrichthyes; Myliobatiformes; Myliobatidae.